AAGUCGAGCGGAAACGAUGAUAGCUUGCUAUCAGGCGUCGAGCGGCGGACGGGUGAGUAAUACUUAGGAAUCUACCUAGUAGUGGGGGAUAGCACGGGGAAACUCGUAUUAAUACCGCAUACGACCUACGGGAGAAAGGGGGCAGUUUACUGCUCUCGCUAUUAGAUGAGCCUAAGUCGGAUUAGCUAGAUGGUGGGGUAAAGGCCUACCAUGGCGACGAUCUGUAGCUGGUCUGAGAGGAUGAUCAGCCACACCGGGACUGAGACACGGCCCGGACUCCUACGGGAGGCAGCAGUGGGGAAUAUUGGACAAUGGGGGAAACCCUGAUCCAGCCAUGCCGCGUGUGUGAAGAAGGCCUUUUGGUUGUAAAGCACUUUAAGCAGUGAAGAAGACUCCGUGGUUAAUACCCACGGACGAUGACAUUAGCUGCAGAAUAAGCACCGGCUAACUCUGUGCCAGCAGCCGCGGUAAUACAGAGGGUGCAAGCGUUAAUCGGAAUUACUGGGCGUAAAGGGAGCGUAGGUGGCUCUAUAAGUCAGAUGUGAAAUCCCCGGGCUUAACCUGGGAACUGCAUCUGAAACUGUAGAGCUAGAGUAUGUGAGAGGGAGGUAGAAUUUCAGGUGUAGCGGUGAAAUGCGUAGAGAUCUGAAGGAAUACCGAUGGCGAAGGCAGCCUCCUGGCAUAAUACUGACACUGAGGCUCGA
This 704-nucleotide ribosomal RNA is filed under the name Psychrobacter sp. RNAcentral's name for it is "bacterial SSU rRNA". It matches the Rfam family "Bacterial small subunit ribosomal RNA", at positions 59 to 756 of the family's 1533-position model. The record is from RNAcentral. Lineage: Bacteria; Pseudomonadati; Pseudomonadota; Gammaproteobacteria; Moraxellales; Moraxellaceae.